UACGUAGGGGGCUAGCGUUGUCCGGAUUUAUUGGGCGUAAAGAGCGUGUAGGCGGCCAGGUAGGUCUGCUGUGAAAACUCGAGGCUCAACCUCGAGACGUCGGCGGAAACCAUCUGGCUAGAGUCCGGAAGAGGAGAGUGGAAUUCCUGGUGUAGCGGUGAAAUGCGCAGAUAUCAGGAAGAACACCCGUGGCUAAGGCGGUUCUCUAGUACGGUACUGACGCUGAGACGCGAAAGCGUGGGGAGCGAACAGG
Molecule: ribosomal RNA, 253 nt
Filed under: uncultured bacterium
Lineage: Bacteria
Description: partial 16S ribosomal RNA
Rfam family: Bacterial small subunit ribosomal RNA
Source: RNAcentral